GCCACGAGCCGCGGUAAUACGGAGGAUGCAAGCGUUAUCCGGAAUGAUUGGGCGUAAAGGGUCUGCAGGUGGAACUGAAAGUCUGCUGUUAAAGAGUUUGGCUUAACCAAAUAAAAGCGGUGGAAACUACAGAACUAGAGUGCGGUAGGGGCAAAAGGAAUUCCUGGUGUAGCGGUGAAAUGCGUAGAUAUCAGGAAGAACACCGGUGGCGAAAGCGUUUUGCUAGACCGUAACUGACACUGAGGGACGAAAGCUAGGGGAGCGAAUGGGAUUAGAUACCCCAGUAGUCCUAGCCGUAAACGAUGGAUACUAGGCGUGGCUUGUAUCGACCCGAGCCGUGCCGGAGCUAACGCGUUAAGUAUCCCGCCUGGGGAGUACGCACGCAAGUGUGAAACUCAAAGGAAUUGACGGGGGCCCGCACAAGCGGUGGAGUAUGUGGUUUAAUUCGAUGCAACGCGAAGAAUCUUACCAAGACUUGACAUCCUGCGAAUCCUGGUGAAAGCUGGGAGUGCCUUAGGGAGCGCAGAGACAGGUGGUGCAUGGCUGUCGUCAGCUCGUGUCGUGAGAUGUUGGGUUAAGUCCCGCAACGAGCGCAACCCUCGUUUUUAGUUGCCAGCAUUAAGUUGGGCACUCUAGAGAGACUGCCGGUGACAAACCGGAGGAAGGUGAGGAUGACGUCAAGUCAGCAUGCCCCUUACGUCUUGGGCUACACACGUACUACAAUGCUACGGACAGAGGGCAGCAAGCCAGGGAUGGCAAGCGAAUCCAGAAACCGUAGCUCAGUUCAGAUCGAAGGCUGCAACUCGCCUUCGUGAAGGAGGAAUCGCUAGUAAUUGCAGGUCAGCAUACUGCAG
Molecule: ribosomal RNA, 854 nt
Filed under: Cylindrospermopsis raciborskii
Lineage: Bacteria; Bacillati; Cyanobacteriota; Cyanophyceae; Nostocales; Aphanizomenonaceae
Description: bacterial SSU rRNA
Rfam family: Bacterial small subunit ribosomal RNA
Source: RNAcentral